CACGUAGGGCGCAAGCGUUGUCCGGAAUUAUUGGGCGUAAAGAGCUCGUAGGCGGACUGUCACGUCUGCUGUGAAAAGCUAGGGCUUAACCCUGGCCUUGCAGUGGAUACGGGCAGACUAGAGGUAGGUAGGGGAGAAUGGAAUUCCCGGUGUAGCGGUGAAAUGCGCAGAUAUCGGGAGGAACACCGGUGGCGAAGGCGGUUCUCUGGGCCUUACCUGACGCUGAGGAGCGAAAGCGUGGGGAGCGAACAGG
RNAcentral lists this ribosomal RNA (253 nucleotides) under uncultured bacterium. Its description in RNAcentral is "partial 16S ribosomal RNA". It matches the Rfam family "Bacterial small subunit ribosomal RNA", at positions 524 to 776 of the family's 1533-position model. The record is from RNAcentral.